RNAcentral lists this long non-coding RNA (1377 nucleotides) under Homo sapiens (human). RNAcentral describes it as "testis expressed transcript, Y-linked 7 (TTTY7)". Lineage: Eukaryota; Metazoa; Chordata; Mammalia; Primates; Hominidae. The record is from RNAcentral.
GAGCAGUGUCCUCACGCAUUGGACUGGCCUCCAAUGGGUGUAGUUACAGGGCCCCAACCACCUUUCACCAGAUUGUAUACUCACCUGUAUCUGACCUUAUUGCUACUCACACUCUAGGUCCCAGGAUAAAAUCCCAACAUGAUGGAGGAGUGCCCCCUCAUUAUGUGAAGCACCUGCUGGGCUUGGAACCAAAUUCAGUGAUGAAAUCCCAAGAUGAUGGAGGAGUGAACCCUGACGACAGGAAGUACCUGCUCACCUAUGAACAAAAUUUGAGGAAUAUGGAUGUAUCCUGUGGAUCCCUCAGAGAAGACAGGCAAGAGUCCACCACCAAGGCACCUCUAUGGAGGUCUCCUUCUUGGCCACGCAGCCAGGACUGAUCUCUAUGUAAUGGUGACAUUCAUUGUGAUGCUAGCCAGAGCUCAUAGUCAGGCCUGGUGCCCUGAGGCGUGCAUGUGCAUUUGAGGGCAUGCUUGCUGGCCUGGCUUUCACAGAUGUUAGCCUGUGGAAGCAGAAGAAAAUGGUACACAUAGAGCUGGCUCGGUAUCCAGAAAUAGGCUGCCUGCAAUAAUGCACUGCGGGACCCUACAAUGCUCGAAGUUAGGGCGACUUCAAGCCGUCUCCCUGGUCAGCUCCUGCAGGAGUAGGAGGCAUUCAGAGACUGAGGUGGUCGCUGAAAUCUGUUCUUCUGAUUCCCUUUUGGAAAGAGGCUGUGUGCAAGAAUCCAGUCCCAUGGGGAUUGGAAUGUAGUCUGGAUCGUGGGACUAUCCUGUGGAUCCCACAGAGAAGAGAGAGGACAGUCCACCACUGAUGCACCUCCACAGAGGUCUCCUUCUCCGCCAAACCUCACGGAAUUGUGACAUUCAUGGUAUCAAGCAGCUGUCUGAUAAAAGCUGGAUAAGAAGAGUUUCCUUCUUGGCUACUGUUACAGAAAUUUAUGGUUUUAAAACAAUCAAAGUUGCCCAGUCAUUAAAACCCAAUAGUAUUUAGAAGAAAACACUCAUGAAAUGGAUUCCCUUGAGGGUCGUCUUCCAUUAAGUGGUAAACAUUUAAUGUGGAAUAUGUACAGCCAGACCCAAGAAACCUUAGGCUGAUGAGGUACAUGGAUGUCAGGAAAAUAAGAGGCGAAUGUGCGGGACCCCAUCCAUCCCUCACCAGCUUGUAUCCUCAGCUUUAUCUGAAGUUAAAAGUAUCUUUCCCAUAAUGAAAUCCAAAGAUGAUGGAAGAGUGCCCCCUCACGGUGUGGAGGUCCUGCUUGGCUAGCAACUGAAUAUGAAGUAAAUUCAAGGGACCCUGCGGACCGGACUGCUAGUGUUUCUAAAUGGGGUGUACACUGGACAAUAAAACACUGAAAGAUUUCUGUUCCUGAAAAAAAAAAAA